Molecule: long non-coding RNA, 299 nt
Filed under: Ricinus communis (castor bean)
Lineage: Eukaryota; Viridiplantae; Streptophyta; Magnoliopsida; Malpighiales; Euphorbiaceae
Description: long non-coding RNA (RCOM_LNC001563)
Source: RNAcentral
UCUAGCGGAUGAUCCAGCUGACCCUUCUUCUCCGACUGAGCAUCCUUCAACAAAGCAGCCUGACGAGCCUCCUACCGACGCUGUUCCUACUGACCCACCAGCUCCUGCAGGUGACACUACUUCCAACCCUCAGCGAGCAGCCACUCCUCCACCACAGACUAGCCAGCGCCCUGAUAUUCCUGAUGAUGCACCUCUUUUCCCUCCGGAGCUAUAGUCAGGGCAGUAUUAGUUCUUUUUCCUUUUUCUUUUCUUAUAUUGGUUUUCUUUUACACAGGGACAGUGUGUCCUUCAAGUGUGGG